UACGGAGGGGACUAGCGUUGUUCGGAAUUACUGGGCGUAAAGCGCACGUAGGCGGAUUUGUAAGUCAGGGGUGAAAUCCCGGGGCUCAACCUCGGAACUGCCUUUGAUACUGCAAAUCUCGAGUCCGGAAGAGGUGAGUGGAAUUCCUAGUGUAGCGGUGAAAUGCGUAGAUAUCAGGAGGAACACCGGUGGCGAAGGCGGCUAUCUGGACAGAGUCUGACGCUGAGGCGCGAAAGCUAGGGGAGCAAACAGG
RNAcentral lists this ribosomal RNA (253 nucleotides) under uncultured bacterium. Its description in RNAcentral is "partial 16S ribosomal RNA". It matches the Rfam family "Bacterial small subunit ribosomal RNA", at positions 524 to 776 of the family's 1533-position model. The record is from RNAcentral.